This 29-nucleotide non-coding RNA is filed under the name Homo sapiens (human). Lineage: Eukaryota; Metazoa; Chordata; Mammalia; Primates; Hominidae. The record is from RNAcentral.
UGUCCACUCAGGGUUAAAUGGAUUAAGGG